This is an RNA transcript of Carassius gibelio (silver crucian carp), 3044 nucleotides long. It is a transcript of the gene named protein shisa-5, with no coding region annotated. The transcript has 7 exons. Lineage: Eukaryota; Metazoa; Chordata; Actinopteri; Cypriniformes; Cyprinidae. The record is from RefSeq and is a predicted model, not a curated record.
UGAGACUUCCUAUAAAGGGCUGAUUAUGGUUCUUUCGUAUUGCAAACAUGAUACUUUACUCUGAACUGUGGCUAAUCUUUAUUCUUUUGUUUAUAAUAUUUUUCCAUCGGAAUGUUCGGAAACAGUAUACCAUCGCUCAGCCUUUUCGAGCAUUUUUUUGCCCCCAAAAGAAGAAUGAAAACUUACUUCAUUUGAUUUAUAGCGGGUCGGUUAGGACCAACACAGACCACAGGGUGAGCACCCCCUGCAAGCCUCACUAUCACCUCUUCCAGCAGAAACCUAGUUUUCCAGGAGGUCUCCCAUCCAGGUACAGACCAAGCUCAAUCCUGCUUAGCUUCAGUGGGCAACCGGUCUUGGACUGCAGGGUGAUAUGGCUGCAUACGCACACAUAGAACCUUUACAUCACACAUAAGCUUAUUUAUUGCAGAGGAAGGUGUUCUCUAAAUAUUCACUUCUGUGGCAUUGCUAAGAAAAAACACUUUUGUAACCUUUAUUUUUAAGAAUGUAUUAACUUACAUCGCUCCAAAUUCAGAUUAGCUAAUUCCAUUUCAUAAAAACUAAUAUAAUAUAAAACAUGUUUUUUAAUUUUUUUGUGAUUUAUAUUUAGAGCCAAUCACAAACAAACCCUGAUUGUAUUGGGUAAUGUUUAAAUGUACAUAUUUAACAAAUUUCAACAGCUGUUUUUCUUCUUCUUCUCUUCCUCUUUCGCUUUCGUUUUUCCCCAGUGUUUGCCUGACGUUGAUGACGGAAAAGAGGGGGAAAAUCUAAAACUGGUUCAUUAGACGCCCACGAGCUGAUCUGGUAACACUGUGAGCAUCAAGAGAAGUUAGUUGAAGAGGAAGAGCAGCACGAUGGCAUUCACCUCAGCGGUUCUCAUGUUCCUGUCUGCGGGUUUAUUCACGGUAACAGACGGAGCUGACUGUGAGAGCUAUUACACCAGCAAGAACAAGUACAGACCUUCGUUUAACUGCGGGUUUCUGCAGCACUGCUGUGGAACCUGCAAUGACAGAUUCUGCUGCCCCCUUGAUAUUUUGAGGUUAUCCAAGCGUGAUCAAAAUAUGUGCAAUAUCGGCAGAAACCUUGGUUUUAUCAUUGGCUUAUCAAUAGCAGGGUUUGCGGCCUUCGUCAUCUUGUUCAUCUGCUGCUGCUGCUGCUGCUGCCCCUGCUGCUGUUUCUAUCAAACGUGCAGAAGACACAGAACUGCGGUACAAACAAAUGUAACUACAGUCAUGAAUUCACAAUCCAUUCAGAUGCAGCCGGUAAUGCAGGUAGUCCAGCCCCAACAAUACCAACCAGUGCCGACUCAAGCAGGUUACGGGGGUCAGCCUAUGCAGACAGCACCAUAUCAGGGACAGUCAUAUGCACCAGAACCCCCACCCUCGUAUGACAUGGCCACGAGUCCUGGAUAUCCCACUAUUCAGGGUGCAUAUAAUGGAGGCCAGGCCAUGUACCCCAUGAAGUCACCUGACCAGCCGGGUGCUGCUCCUGUCCUUUCAGAGACAUUGAAUCAGCCAGCUUACAACCCCGACUACAUGCAGCCACCAAAAACCGGUUACUAAACUGCAACCAUCUGUCAAAUCAGUCAUUGCUGGAUUGUGGAGUUUGACGCAGUUUCGCAAGGCAGUAAAAAUGUGCAUUAUACAAGACUAUGUGCUAUGGUCAGGGUUAUUAGUUUUUUAAUUUUAGUUAUUUAGUUUUAUUUCAAUUUCUUUCAUUUUAUUAAAAAAUAAAUAAAUGAUUACUAUAGAAAGUUUUACAUGAAAAUGUACAAGCAAUGAGUGAAAAUAGAUUCACACAUUAAAACAAAAUGCAGUUUAAGAUUUAUAUUAGUGUUUUCUGCCUUUGGUAUUAAUAAUUCUGGUAUACACUGAUAUACAAUAUAAAAUUAAAUAUACUAAAAAUACAAAAAUGUAAAAUAUAACUUGCCAUCUUUAUUUUAUUUUCAUUAUUUUUGUUAGUUAAUUUUCUUUAGUUACAGCUCAUGUAAUUCUGUUGAGUUUGCAUAAAGGUUUUUUUUUCUGAAUUUCAAAUGGCAGGAAGUGUGAUUAUAUAUAAAGGAAGUGUCAACUAUUUUUUUUCCUUUUGAGGGUAUAAAUGCAACCGCGUUUUGAAUAACAAUGAGUGUCACAAAACUUUCACAAUUAUGUCAUGAGUCCCACUGACAUUCUGCACCAACAAGUUUAAAUCCACACACUCGUUUUCAAGCACAGAAUGGCUGUUAAGGUAGGAAAAAUGGUUACUUUUUUAUAGCAACCUUUAUUAAAGCAUUAGGAAACCCCCAUCCCAACAUUUGCAGUGCCUUUUCAGAUUGUAUUUUACCGUUUCAGGUGACAUUGCUUUUUUGAGAAGCAGUCUAUUUGUUAAAUGGCUAUACAUUGUGAAUAUGUUAAAUUGGUGUUUUAUAUGUUUUCUAUGUGUGAAAGAUGGAAAAAAACAUUUUUUAGUCUCUUUUACCCAGGAACUUGGGACUUUGGCCUGGUACUCGGUGUGUUUCCACCACAGGAACCAGGAACUAAAAGUUCCAGUUAAAAAAAUGCCCCCCUCAGAAAGUCCCUGCUGGCGAGGUAGUACUUUUUCAAAGUUCUGGAACUUUCGGGGGCGGGACUUGGGCGCUAAACAUCCUGAUUGGUUGAGUUCACGCAGCAUUGGCUGGGUUCAACCACCAUUUAUUGGGAUCAUUUUCAAAAUAUUACUGUUAUUGUGUCAUGAAAUAUAAUUUUAAAAGUAUGUAAGGUGAGAAUGUAGUUGUUUAAAACUCAAAUCUGUGGUUUAUUUAUAAAGACAGUGCCUAUUUAAAAAUGUGUUUCGCCGAUCUCUGAGACGUGAGCUCCACGUGAUCAGCGAGAGCUCAGUCCUCAUGUAUCCGCCGAGAGCAGCCUCACCUCGGCUAGACCUUCUGAUGUGUGCCGCUGGCUCUGAUGUCUCUUUUUAGUGGUUAAACAUAAAAUAUAAUUCAUUUUGGGUAAAUCUAAAAGGUUAUCUUUGGUCUGUAUUCAAUUUAUCUAUAUGUUAAAAUGAAAAUAAAAAGGCAAAUUUAUAUCAUA